This 103-nucleotide microRNA precursor is filed under the name Marmota monax (woodchuck). The record is from RNAcentral. Lineage: Eukaryota; Metazoa; Chordata; Mammalia; Rodentia; Sciuridae.
AGUGGAAUUGUUGGAUGAUAUGAUAGCACUAUCUUUAAUUUUUUGAGGAAUCUCCAUACUGUUUUACAUAAUGGCUAUACUAAUUUAUAUUCCUAACAACAGU